AACGAACGCUGGCGGCAUGCCUAAUACAUGCAAGUCGAACGAGAUCUUCGGAUCUAGUGGCGCACGGGUGCGUAACGCGUGGGAAUCUGCCCUUGGGUUCCGAAUAACUUCUGGAAACGGAAGCUAAUACCGGAUGAUGACGUAAGUCCAAAGAUUUAUCGCCCAAGGAUGAGCCCGCGUAGGAUUAGCUAGUUGGUGGGGUAAAGGCCCACCAAGGCGACGAUCCUUAGCUGGUCUGAGAGGAUGAUCAGCCACACUGGGACUGAGACACGGCCCAGACUCCUACGGGAGGCAGCAGUAGGGAAUAUUAGGCAAUGAGCGAAAGCCUGAUCCAGCAAUGCCGCGGGAGUGAUGAAGGCGUUAGGGUUGUAAAGCUCUUUUACCCGGGAUGAUAAUGACAGUACCGGGAGAAGAAGCUCCGGCUAACUCCGUG
This 433-nucleotide ribosomal RNA is filed under the name uncultured bacterium. RNAcentral describes it as "partial 16S ribosomal RNA". It matches the Rfam family "Bacterial small subunit ribosomal RNA", at positions 29 to 507 of the family's 1533-position model. The record is from RNAcentral.